GUUCUGUUGGUGUAGCGGUUAUCACAUCUGCUUAACACGCAGAAGGUCGCAGGUUCGACACCUGCACAGAACA
RNAcentral lists this transfer RNA (73 nucleotides) under Adineta vaga. RNAcentral describes it as "tRNA-Val for anticodon AAC". It matches the Rfam family "tRNA". Rfam says of the family: Transfer RNA (tRNA) molecules are approximately 80 nucleotides in length. The record is from RNAcentral. RNAcentral also lists the same sequence under 7 other names. Lineage: Eukaryota; Metazoa; Rotifera; Eurotatoria; Adinetida; Adinetidae.